RNAcentral lists this ribosomal RNA (1036 nucleotides) under Pedobacter cryoconitis. RNAcentral describes it as "partial 23S ribosomal RNA". It matches the Rfam family "Bacterial large subunit ribosomal RNA", at positions 279 to 1314 of the family's 2925-position model. The record is from RNAcentral. Lineage: Bacteria; Pseudomonadati; Bacteroidota; Sphingobacteriia; Sphingobacteriales; Sphingobacteriaceae.
UAUGUUACGGCAUAACUGGGGUUGUAGGACUACAAUAUGGCAUUAAUGAAAUGAAGUGGAACAGGAUGGGAAGCCUGGCAGUAUAGCGUGAGAGCCGCGUACACGUAAGUAACAUUAGUCUAGUAGUAUCCUGAGUACCGCGAGGUCGGAGACGCCUUGUGGGAAUCUGCCGGCACCAUCCGGUAAGGCUAAAUACUCCUGAGAGACCGAUAGUGAACCAGUACCGUGAGGGAAAGGUGAAAAGAACCCCGAACAGGGGAGUGAAAUAGAACCUGAAACUGUGUACUUACAAGCGGUCGGAGCGUCCAGGUGGCGUGACGGCGUGCCUUUUGCAUAAUGAGCCUACGAGUUACUCUUCUCUGGCAAGGUUAAGUGUUUAAGACACGCAGCCGAAGCGAAAGCGAGUCUGAAUAGGGCGUAUAGUCAGGGGAGGUAGACGCGAAACCUUGUGAUCUACCCAUGGACAGGUUGAAGGUGCGGUAACACGUACUGGAGGACCGAACCGAUAAACGUUGAAAAGUUUCCGGAUGAUCUGUGGGUAGGGGUGAAAGGCUAAUCAAACUGGGAAAUAGCUCGUACUCCCCGAAAUGUUUUUAGGAACAGCGUGGUGGUUAAGUUUACUAGAGGUAGAGCUACUGAUUGGGUGCGGGGGAGUCAAAUCCUACCAAAUCCAGACAAACUCCGAAUGCUAUUAAAUAUACACUGCAGUGAGGCCCGGGGUGCUAAGGUCACGGGCCGAGAGGGAAAGAACCCAGACCAUCAGCUAAGGUCCCCAAGUUACUACUAAGUUGAACUAACGAGGUGCGAUUGCCUAGACAGCUAGGAUGUUGGCUUGGAAGCAGCCAUUCAUUUAAAGAGUGCGUAACAGCUCACUAGUCGAGCGAUCGUGCAUGGAUAAUAAACGGGCAUAAAGUAGUACACCGAAGCUAUGGGUAAUAUUAAUAUUACGGUAGGGGAGCAUUCCAGCGGCAGCGAAGUUAUGACGUAAGUUGUGGUGGAGCUUCUGGAAAAGCAAAUGUAGGCAUAAGUAACGAUA